GUGCUCGCUUCAGCAGCACAUAUACUAAAAUUGGAACAAUACAGAGAAGAUUAGUAUGGCCCCUGCACAAGGAUGACAUGCAAAUUUGUGAAGUGUUCUAUAUU
This 104-nucleotide small nuclear RNA is filed under the name Cervus elaphus hippelaphus. Lineage: Eukaryota; Metazoa; Chordata; Mammalia; Artiodactyla; Cervidae. The record is from RNAcentral.